This is a long non-coding RNA of Beta vulgaris subsp. vulgaris (sugar beet), 581 nucleotides long. RefSeq lists it as uncharacterized. The transcript is spliced from 3 exons. NCBI's taxonomy places the organism in Eukaryota, Viridiplantae, Streptophyta, Magnoliopsida, Caryophyllales, Amaranthaceae. The record is from RefSeq and is a predicted model, not a curated record.
UGUGUGUGCGGUGUUCGAGACGAGCGACGAAGCUCGAGUGCUGUGCGAAGACGUGCGAGCGACAAGGUUCGCGUUGGAGUGGGUGCGAAGGCUGCGCGACGAGCACUAGAGUGGUGUGCGAGCGGUCCGGGCCGUGAGGCUGCUGUGGUGGUGCGCAGCUAGUGGGUCGCCGGAGUUGCCCCGCCGGCGAGUCUAGUGGUUCAAAACCAAUAGGUCCCAAUUUCAUAAGCGGAACGUUCGAUUAAGACAGCGAAAAUUCUCCGUUACAAGACUAGGUGUGCUGGUGCUGCUGCAUAAUCUCGAGCAUACGGGGACUAGGCUUGGGUAUUUACAUUUAAAGCAUUUUGAAAUAAGUAUUAUUGGUUUUUCCAAGACUUAUAUAUGGUUUGUGGUUUGAAUGAAAGGGGUCAUUGAUGAUUCCCGAGUUGUAUUUAUAUUUUAAUUCCGCUGCAUUUUAGUUUUCAAGUUAAUGUUUUAAGUUAUCGUUAACCGUUAUUAUGCCUUGCGUUCCAUCGCGGCGGUAACGCGCCCAAAGUCAACGCGACGCAGCAGUGGUAGGCGCGCGUGGGUUUUGGGGGUGU